Molecule: long non-coding RNA, 1222 nt
Organism: Panicum virgatum (switchgrass)
Lineage: Eukaryota; Viridiplantae; Streptophyta; Magnoliopsida; Poales; Poaceae
Exons: 2
Source: RefSeq, a predicted model, not a curated record
UGAACCUAUUGACCCAAUGGGUAAGUUGGGUCAACCCAAAACAAUCUGAGGCAUGAGAGAGGUCGGGACUCGGGAGCCUGCAUGGUGGCGAGCGACCUGGCGGCGGUGGCGACCGUAGUGGUGGCGGCUCGGCGCGCCUCGCUGGCCUCCGGCGGCGACGGAUCCGCGCACCGCUCUCCCUUCCAGCGGCUGUCCCGUCAGGUAAAGUUCUCCCAUCUCUGUUCUUCUCCUGUAGUUGUCCUAGGGUUUGUUCGUCAGGUAAGCUUUGAUCUGGCUUGACGGCUUGCUUCCUCGUCGUCGCUGCACUCAUGCGCCCGGCUGGUCACGGAUGCUGGCAGCUGGGAACCGGCCGUGCCGGGGUGCAGUGGCCCGGCCGGCGACACACUGCCCUUGUCCUCGCUCGACAUGGUGCCCCCUUUUCCUGUGCCCUCUCUAUUCCGCCGGCUUCUUGUGAUGUCUGUCAGAUCAGAGCUUUUCCUCGCUUGUAAAUUGCGGCUGCUAUGCAUCACGAUGGCUAAGUAGGGUCUCUGUUCUUUUUUUUUUGCUUCUGAAAUACAGCUGAUUAUUAAAUUCCCAAUUCAGUUACAAUUGAGGCUGCUAAUCUAUUGGAUGCUGACUGAAUUUUUGUCAGUGUGCAAAGUUGUAGGCUGUACUCAAAACGAUGCUCUUCCCCUUGUAGAGCUCAAUUCUUUCAUUGCUUUUGUACCCUUUGUGUAUUAUGGAUCUACUGGUGCUUGAAGUUGCCAUUUCUUGAGAAAAGAUAUAUCAUUCUCAGUUGUCUAGUUGUGAAGAGCAUUCAGCUCCACACAUUGACAGGCGUACUUAAUCAUCAUAUUUCUAUUCAUUAGCUAAUGUGUAGGUUACUUCAGCAAAUUAGAUAGCAGGUUCAUGGUGGUUUUUCUAAUGUACUAAUGAACAUGUAGGUGAGGAGGCUAUAGAGGCAAGCCCCUGAUCUAGAACAAAUUCAGUUGUUGGGGAUUCAAUUGUUGGCUUGGGCUAGUUGCUUGUUAUGGCACAAAUUCAGUUUGUAUUUGAGCUGCAGAUUCAAUCGCUUGUGAUCUGGAACAAAUUCAGUUGCUGGGGAUUCAAUUGUUGGCUGGGGCUAGUUGCUUGCUGUGGCACAAAUUCAGUUUGUAUUUAAGCUGCAGAUUCAAUCGCUUGCUAUUAGAUACUUGUAAUAAUCAUAAUUUUAUUAUGUGUCAUUUACAUCUUCAUUGGGUAA